RNAcentral lists this ribosomal RNA (492 nucleotides) under uncultured bacterium. Its description in RNAcentral is "partial 16S ribosomal RNA". It matches the Rfam family "Bacterial small subunit ribosomal RNA", at positions 29 to 507 of the family's 1533-position model. The record is from RNAcentral.
AGCGAACGCUGGCGGUAGGCCUAACACAUGCAAGUCGAACGGCAGCACAGUAAGAGCUUGCUCUUACGGGUGGCGAGUGGCGGACGGGUGAGGAAUACAUCGGAAUCUACUUUUUCGUGGGGGAUAACGUAGGGAAACUUACGCUAAUACCGCAUACUACCUACGGGUGAAAGCAGGGAUUCUUCGGCCUUUUGGGGCUGUAACGGGCCGAGUUCGGUUUUGUUAGUUGGCGGGUUAAAGGCCCACCAAGGGGAGUAUCCGUACCUGGUCUGAGAGGAGGAUGAGCCACACUGGAACUGAGACACGGUCCAGACUCCUACGGGAGGCAGCGGUGGGGAAUAUUGGACAAUGGGCGCAAGCCUGAUCCAGCCAUACCGCGUGGGUGAAGAAGGCCUUGGGGUUGUAAAGCCCUUUUGUUGGGAAAGAAAAGCAGCAGGUUAAUACCCCGCUGUUCUGACGGUAGCCAAAGAAUAAGCACCGGCUAACUUCGUG